GAACUGGAGCUUUAGGUAUAAAAUCUUACGCUUCCUUGAGAAACCCUAGGGUGGCUUCCGCCGAGAAGCAUUAUGGUGUAUCGAUCAUCAAUUUGUUCUCUUCUUCCACAGCGACGCGACUUCGUGAAGUCUCUAUACAUAAUUUAUUUUCAAAUUAAGGCAGCCGGUUUAAUCGAAUUUUCGGCAAUUAUGCUCUACAACCCAUCAAUGGUGGAUCCAUGCAAGACUAUGGAUCUGGUACCAGGCGCCACAUGAUUGCGAGGGCAAAAAGAAUUCUAAAGCACGGAUUGAUGCUUUGAUAUUUUUCUUUAUAUAUUUAUAUUUUUUUUCUUGCUUUUUUGUUUGUUUUGUUUUUGCGUUGUUCUGAAAAAUCUUUGAUUGAAGCAAAGCAAGGGGAUGAUCUAAUUUGAUCUGAAUAUGAUGCUGAUAGCAAUUCAUCAUGUCCUUCAAAGCUCUCUGAUUGCUUUGCAUGCAUAAUUUUUAGUGACUUGAAUAUCUAAUCUAAUUCAUUAUUAUUGUUUGAAUGAAUAAUCCGGAUUCAAGCAAAAUAAAGUUAAAUUAUAGGGGUUUCAAAUUUCUUUAUUCUCUUUGCAUUCUAUUUCACGCAUGAUUCCAUGCAGUUGCACUAUAGGUUCGAUAGCCAUUGUUUUAUUAGUCUACUGUAUAUUUGGGCAAUGAGUUUUAUCAUGCAUAUUCAGCUUCUAUGAUAAAUUGCAUAUUCUUUAUCAAUGUAUUGUUGGUUUAUGAUAGAUAAAGAAGGUUGUUUUAGCAACUAUAAAUCUGAAGUGAGGUUGCCUUGUUUAAGUCAAGAAAAACAUUUUUGCACUUUUUUUUUAAAUAUGGUUCACCACAGCAGGACACCUUACAAAAUAUCAAGCUUCAGAUCACAUUUUAGUUUUCAUCUCCAUCUUUAGAGGGACAUCUAUAUCUACAUCAUCGAGCAUGACCUCGAACUAGAGGGAUAUAAUUAUGUAUUAUAAGUAAUAUUAUUACUUAACUCAUGCAUUCUAGACCUGCAUUGUAUGCUUCAUAUAAUGAUAAUCAUGUUGUUAUAUCAAAGUACUUCAUCAACAAGAGCAAGUUUUAGCUUGUCUUUUGAAGGAAUUACAUAUUGAACACAAAAGAGCAAGCAUUGAUCAGUUUGGAUGUGAUAGGUUCAGACUUAGAAGACCUCCUUGAAAUGUUGUUGAAGUUCAUUACUUGGCUCUCAUGAGAAUAUUAAUUGUAAAAGAUGAAUCUUAUAAUUUGUCAAUAAUGAAAAUAAUUAUUUUGGUCAAUAUGUAUGAUCAUUGUAUUAUUAUCAGUGUUAAUAUUAAUCUUAUGAUAAACUUCUUGACUACUUGAUCUUCUAAAUUUGAGUACUAUGAUGAUUAGUCCAGAUGUUCUUCUUGGAUAGAUGAACUGAGUAUGAUGACUUUCUCUCUUCUUAAAUCUCUUUCAUAUAAAAACAGUCAGCAUCAGCAGCCUCUCACUGUUAUUUGUAACUCUGCAUCUUAUUUGAAAAAACCAAACUCCAUUUUUUUUUUGUCAAACGAAUUCUAAUGCAUGGAUUUAUGCCCUGCUUUCUUUUGUCAAAUACUCGCAAAUGUUAUAUCUUACUUUUUUUUUUUUGAAUUUUUGUUCGUUUAGUUUUUCUAUUGCUCUGAAAAGUGUUGUUGAAGCAAAGCAAAGGGAUGAUACAAUUUGAUCUGAAUAUGAUGCUGACAGUAAUUCAUCAUAUCCUUCAAAGCUCUCUGAUUGCUUUGCAUACACUUUUUUCCUUAGAUUAAGGCUUCAUUUGGGAUGGCUUUUUAAUUUUUUAAUUAAAAAUUUGCUUUAAGAAGCAGCAAAAAAGACGUCUUAAAUGAAGCCUAAAUUGUUUGUUGAUUCAAGUACCGAUUGGCAUUUUUGUUUGCAUGAACAGCAGGGCUCAAGCAAAACAAAGCACUAUGAUGAAUAAUUGAAUGGAAAAAUUCUAUUAUGUAUAAUGGUUUUCAAAUUUCUUUGAUUUCUUUGCAUUUCAUGCAAGAUUCAAAGCAUUUGCACUUUCGGUUCUAAAGCAAUUAUUUCAUUUGUACUAUUAUAUGUUCUGGUAAUGAGGUUUUUCAUGCAGAUUCAGUUUUUAUAAUAAAUUGCAAGUUCUUUAUCUAUGAAUUGUUAGUUGAUGUUAUAUAAAGAAGAUUUGUCUUAGGAAACAUGAACCUAUAGUAACGUUGCCUUGUAAGUAGUGGAAACUUUUUUUGUACUGUUUGAUUAGCAAAAUGGUUCAUACGGUGCUACAAUGCAAAGAAUAUAGUGUGUUAUAGUUUA
Molecule: long non-coding RNA, 2289 nt
Organism: Dendrobium catenatum
Lineage: Eukaryota; Viridiplantae; Streptophyta; Magnoliopsida; Asparagales; Orchidaceae
Exons: 2
Source: RefSeq, a predicted model, not a curated record